GCUAUGACCCAAAAUGGUUCCUUCAUCUGUUCGAGAAAGAGAGAGGAUGCAGGAUAUCUUUACUACAUUUUCAAAGGCACAUAUGAAGAAGAACCCUAUCAGAAGUGAUCCUGCUGUUCUCUGUCCUCCCUGAAGUUGUACUCCAAACAGGUCUACCACUUGGCUUGAAUGGCAGAUCUUGAGGAAAAAAACUACCAGAUUUUAUUCCAAGACAGUGUUGAAACAAAGCACCACGUCUGACUUUGUACAGAUAGUUCCUUUUGCCCAGCUAGCAACCUCUUUUUUAUCUUGGGGCCCAUUCAGACAUCCAUGGAAGGUUUGUGUGACCUGGAAAAAGUGGAAGCCUAUUCAAAAAUACCAAGAUUUUUGUUUAAUAACUUCACUACCUCCAGGUGCAGUUGGUUGAUUUAUCAGCAGAACCCUUCUCUCAUGUACAAAGUCUGUAAGGGAAAUAAGGUUUACAGUAAUAUGUUCAAUCUCAUACUAUGGAAGAGGAGGUAACAAGAGCCCAAAAGCUGAGAGGAUUGUUCGGGGAUUCCUGGCCUUUGGGGAGGGAUGGACAGAUGUCAGACAGCAGGACAGCUCUGGACGAAGAUACAGAAGAGCUAGAUCCCAUGGAGGGGUACCUGACAAGGACAAAGCUCAGGAGCCGUGUCUGCUGAGAGAGGGGCAAAGCACAGGGAAACACAGGAUGGGAUAAAAAUAAAAGUAAAUCCUUGAGAGAAAAAAAAAAUUACUUAAUGACUUUUGAAUAGUGCUAAAAAAGCUUCCUAGUGCACUCAGAGAUUGAGAGAAAUCAGAGACAUCCUGUUAGUUGCCUCUGUUUUUGUUACAUAUUAAUGAUUUGGGAUAUUCACACCACAAACUGCAAUGUUGUUUUAUCUGGAGUGCAAAUCAGAGUAGAACAAGCUGCUGAAAAGAGGCUGAGAGUACCAUAACAAUCUCAUCUGGUGGCCUUCAUAACAUGCAAAAAGCACGUCAUAACUUUCAGUUACAGGGGUGCAAAUAACUAAAUGUCAUUUACAUUGUUGCUCUGGAGUUCCUGUGGGUUACUCUCAAGGGUUUGCUUUAAUCGUUUGGAAAUGCUGAUUGUUCUCUGAGCGAUGCUAAACAUGACUUGCCUGAAAAGAAAUUGGCCUGUUGUACUGCAGGGUGAUAUUUUUAUUUGUUAGGAGAAGCGUGUUGGUAUUGAGAUGUUUGCAUGUAGGACGGUGAGGAAAAACACCACCAGAAAGCCUGCACCUGCAAUACUUCACUAGUAAAUUGACCACAUGAGGCAUGAGGCCAAAAAUAUCAAUGAAGAUUCAGUGCAUGCAGUGGAAACAAAAAGGAAUAAAUGUUAAACCCUGAUUCUGCUAGGAAUAUUUGCAUUAUGUACUAAUUAGGUAAACAAAACCAGGUACAGAAUCAAGUGAAGAAAGAGCCAUCGUGAAGGUCUCCUCUCCACUGACACCAUGAACAAGCAACAACAGCUUCUGUCAACAAAGGGAGAAGCCAUAACAACACCGUAUUUUUUUUGGUACAGAGUGAUGUCCAUGUUCACAUGCUAAUCACUGGAGCAAUUACUGUUGUUCACAUCUCCAUUUCAUUUCCUUGGCUGAGCACUCCUGGGAUUUUGGACUGUGAUUUCAUUAUUCACUUGGCUCUGCCAUUUGUAUUGUGUACCUGCUCCAGUAGAUAUCAUCAACUCUUAAUACUCCUGCGCUAUGCAGAACAAAUCAUUUGCAUUUGAGUAGGUCGCUAUGGCUACUGGCUACCUAACUGUGUACUGCAUCUGUAAAAGCCAAAAACUUUGCAGAAUUCAGACAAGGAUCAGCUGUUCACUAUUUGAAAUCGUAUCCACACCCAUUGUUGUUCCUAACAGCGCAUACUUUGUAGGGUUGAUUAGGUACAAUCUCUCUCUUCCUAUUUUGGAUUAAUGUUUAGAGAGUCUCUUUCUCAGGGCUGCAGGCUGACUCCAAAGGAAGAAAAAAAUGUCUCUAGAGGACACCUGCAUGACAGUGGGCAGAUUAAUUAUACCUGCAGUGGUUCAAGGUGUGGCAUAAACCCUAAAGGUUUUCCAUUAAAAUUAAUUCUUUGUUGUUUGAAAAUACAAAUUCCUGCUGGAGUUGUCCAAAAUAAAUCUGGUAAUUUAUGCUGUAGUAGUUUUCAGACUACAGAAAAACUCCUUAGCUGGGACUAACACAGAAGGUGCCCGCUCAGUAGGAUCCCAGUCUUUAACUUGCAGAGGUUCAUUCAGAAAUACUAACCCUAGUGCUUUGUUCUGUUCCCUACAUGAAUCACAAAGGCAGGGAAACAGUAUUAUCCCCAGUAAAGAAAAUGGUGAACACUGAAACAAAGCGACUCCAGAAGGAGAGAGUGAGUCAGCAUCAAAGUCUGGACCAAAACUCAAGUUUGCCAACUUGGACCCCUCUCCUCAGAGUUGAGCACAAAUGGAGAAAACAUCUCUGCGAAAGCACUGGCUGUAGCAUUGUACUGAAAGAAUCCGCCUGAGGAACCAUCCCUAAUAUGAAUAAAAUACUGCGGACAAUUGGACUAAUAACAAUAAUUUUUGUUGGUGCGGAUGAAAUAAGUUUCCAGGAUCAGAAAUUCACUGAACAUUGGUAAAAUGCAUGUAUUCUGUAAAACCACUUGCACAUAUUCAGAGACAUCUGGCAAUGCCAUGAGUGCAUCCAUGCCACAGGCUGCCUGUUCCCCCUUCAGGAACCAUGUACAAGUCCUCCCCUUACAGCUCUCUGCUGAGAGAUCCAUGGGAACAUCAAAGGGAAGUUUAUUGCUUAAAAUUAAUCAAACACUGUUCCAAAGACUGUACCACCUUUGUUUCCCCCAGCAAACAACUUAAAUUGCCUUUUUUUUUUUUUUUUUUUUUGGGGGGGGGCACUGGAGAAUUUCAAAAUCUCCUUCUUUCCUCUUCAUCAAAAGAACAGACUGUUUUCCAGGAGAAAUCAUACAUCUGACCUGACCACGCGCUGCUCUGGUAAGCGUGGCAGCAACACACAGGUGGGGUGAAAUAGCCAUUCACUUAUUUACCACUGAAUUUCAUUAUGUUAUGAAGCAGGCUGAGGUGUUUUAUUGUCUACUGUAGAAUAAUAUCAGCAUUUGUGGGUAAGGUCCACUUCACAGAAUCACAGAAUCCCAGGCUGGAAGGGACCUCAGGGAUCAUCUAGUCCAACCUUUCUAGGAAGAGCACAGUCUAGACAAGCUUCAUGAAUAUUCAAUGAGAAAUUGUAUGGCUGAACAAUGUUUCCCUAUGUGUAAUAUAUUAAAAUAAAAAGGCUGUAAAAUAAUAUUAGACAUCAUUUGCACACAAAGAUCCACAGGCAGAGCACAGAAGUGGCCAAAAAAUGAAACCUGACAUGCAUGUUUUGUCAUCAUUUUGGAAGUUAUCACAUUAAGACUGAAUAACAAAGCUCAGAAAUUAAAGGGAAAAUCAUAUCUGAACAUAGUUUGUGAUUAUUUGCUCAAAGCAUUUUAUUAGAUUUGAAUGUAAGCCCUACCAUUUUGUGAUCCAACCUGUACUGCUUUCUUCUUCAGGAAGACGAUUUCCCUUGUUUGCUCUGUUGUGAGGUGGUAGUAGUCUUCAUGGUACUCCAGCUAUGGCGGCUUCCAAGGCCUGGUGUGCCCCACUCUCAGCCACAGGCAAAAGGGACUUCCUACCUGCCUGCCUGGCCACCGUGAGGAAGGAAGCGCGCUUGGCUCAUCCAGAGAAGCAGCAGCUGAAAUACUGUUUGAUUUCAGCACUGGGAAGAAGUGAUUACAAAGGACCACCAAGCCAACUUAUAAUACAAGGGCUACACAAAUCUAUUUUGGUUUUCUGUCCAUCCCAUCUGGAAGCCUAUGGGUUUUUUUUCAGAACUUGCAAAGCUUCCUUCUGAUUGCCUCCAUUGUUUCUGCAAAGAAUUGUUUUUGAACGACCUCCAUCAGCUUUAGGAGGAUGUUGCUUAUUUGCAACUGCGGCGCUGCCUUUCCACUGGCUGAGUUUAGAAGCCAACUGGUUAGAAACAUUUGCGCAGCAAAUCCUUCCCUAACCCCUCAAAGCCAUGUGAUCAUUACCCUAAUAAGCAGAUAACAGUAUUAAA
This is a non-coding RNA of Phalacrocorax carbo (great cormorant), 4079 nucleotides long. NCBI's taxonomy places the organism in Eukaryota, Metazoa, Chordata, Aves, Suliformes, Phalacrocoracidae. The record is from RefSeq and is a predicted model, not a curated record.